This 643-nucleotide ribosomal RNA is filed under the name uncultured bacterium. RNAcentral's name for it is "bacterial SSU rRNA". It matches the Rfam family "Bacterial small subunit ribosomal RNA", at positions 202 to 842 of the family's 1533-position model. The record is from RNAcentral.
CAAAGGAAGCGAUUCCGGCGGGGGAUGGGCAUGCGGCGCAUUAGCUAGUCGGCGGGGUAACGGCCCACCGAGGCGACGAUGCGUAGGGGUUCUGAGAGGAAGGUCCCCCACACUGGUACUGAGACACGGACCAGACUCCUACGGGAGGCAGCAGUGAGGAAUAUUGGUCAAUGGGCGGGAGCCUGAACCAGCCAAGUCGCGUGAGGGAAGACGGUCCUAUGGAUUGUAAACCUCUUUUGCCGGGGAGCAACGGGGUCCUUGCGAGGGCCUAAUGAGAGUACCCGGAGAAAAAGCAUCGGCUAACUCCGUGCCAGCAGCCGCGGUAAUACGGAGGAUGCGAGCGUUAUCCGGAUUUAUUGGGUUUAAAGGGUGCGUAGGCGGGCUGUUAAGUCAGCGGUCAAAUGUCGGGGCUCAACCCCGGCCUGCCGUUGAAACUGGUGGCCUCGAGUGGGCGAGAAGUAUGCGGAAUGCGUGGUGUAGCGGUGGAAUGCAUAGAUAUCACGCAGAACUCCGAUUGCGAAGGCAGCAUACCGGCGCCCGACUGACGCUGAGGCACGAAAGCGUGGGUAUCGAACAGGAUUAGAUACCCUGGUAGUCCACGCAGUAAACGAUGAAUGCUAGCUGUCCGGGGCUUCGGUCCUGG